This 154-nucleotide ribosomal RNA is filed under the name Cetraria aurescens. RNAcentral's name for it is "Ahtiana aurescens 5.8S ribosomal RNA". It matches the Rfam family "5.8S ribosomal RNA". Rfam says of the family: 5.8S ribosomal RNA (5.8S rRNA) is a component of the large subunit of the eukaryotic ribosome. It is transcribed by RNA polymerase I as part of the 45S precursor that also contains 18S and 28S rRNA. The record is from RNAcentral. Lineage: Eukaryota; Fungi; Ascomycota; Lecanoromycetes; Lecanorales; Parmeliaceae.
CUUUCAACAACGGAUCUCUUGGUUCCAGCAUCGAUGAAGAACGCAGCGAAAUGCGAUAAUUAAUGUGAAUUGCAGAAUUCAGUGAAUCAUCGAGUCUUUGAACGCACAUUGCGCCCCUCGGUAUUCCGGGGGGCAUGCCUGUUCGAGCGUUAUU